This 1124-nucleotide long non-coding RNA is filed under the name Salmo salar (Atlantic salmon). RNAcentral's name for it is "lncRNA (ENSSSAG00000089613.1)". The record is from RNAcentral. Lineage: Eukaryota; Metazoa; Chordata; Actinopteri; Salmoniformes; Salmonidae.
GUGUGUGGUAGUGUGUGGUAGUGUGUAUGGUAGUGUGUAUGGUAAUGUGUAUUGUCAUGUGCAUGGUAGUGUGUGUGUGGUAAUGUGUGGUAGUGUGUAUGGUAGUGUGUGUGGUAGUGUGUAUGGUAGUGUGUAUGGUAGUGUGUGGCAGUGUGUAUGGUAGUGUGUGUGGUAGUGUGUGUGUGUGUGUGGUAGUGUGUAUGGUAGUGUGUGGCAGUGUGUAUGGUAGUGUGUGUGGUAGUGUGUGUGGUAGUGUGUGUGGUAGUGUGUGUGUGUGUGGCAGUGUGUAUGGUAGUGUGUGUGGUAGUGUGUGUGGUAGUGUGUAUGGUAGUGUGUAUGGUAAUGUGUGUGUGGUAGUGUGUAUUGUCAUGUGCAUGGUAGUGUGUGUGUGUGUGUGUGUGGUAAUGUGUGGUAGUGUGUGUGGUAGUGUGUGUGGUAGUGUGUAUGGUAGUGUGUGUGGUAGUGUGUAUAGUAGUGUGUGUGUGUGUGGUAGUGUGUAUGGUAGUGUGUGUGUGGUAGUGUGUAUGGUAGUGUGUGUGUGUGUGUGUGUGUGUGUGUGUGGUAGUGUGUGUGGUAGUGUGUAUAGUAGUGUGUGUGUGUGUGGUAGUGUGUAUGGUAGUGUGUGUGUGGUAGUGUGUAUGGUAGUGUAUGGUAGUGUGUGUGGUAGUGUGAAUAGUAGUGUGUGUGUGUGUGUGGUAGUGUGUGUGGUGGUGUACAGUAGAGUAUGUUGUAGUGUGUGUGGUAGUGUGUAUGGUAGUGUAUGGUAGUGUGUGUUGUAGUGUGUGUGGUAGUGUGUAUGGUAGAGUAUGGUAGUGUGGGUUGUAGUGUGUGUGGUAGCGUACAGUAGUGUGUGUUGUAGUGUGUGUGGUAGUGUGUAUGGUAGUGUAUGGUAGUGUAUGGUAGUGUGGGUUGUAGUGUGUGUGGUAGUGUACAGUAGAGUGUGCUGUAUGUUUGUUUGUGUGUUAAGGUGUGUCCUUAUGUGUGUCAGAAGAACAUGUGUACCAGGAGUGGGAGUAAGGUAGUAGAGAAUGACAGGUGUGUGUUAGAGAGGUGUGCAUGUAUAGGAAGGAAAUGUGUGUGUGUGUGUGUGUGUGUGUGUGUGUGUGUGUGUGUGUGUGUGUGUG